RNAcentral lists this ribosomal RNA (387 nucleotides) under Triticum aestivum (bread wheat). RNAcentral's name for it is "partial small subunit ribosomal RNA". The record is from RNAcentral. Lineage: Eukaryota; Viridiplantae; Streptophyta; Magnoliopsida; Poales; Poaceae.
AUGCCACUUGUGGACAAGUUUUCCAGCAAGAUGAAGGGCUGGAAGCCGAAGUUACUACCAGCUGCGGGUAGACUUACACUGGUUAAUUCGGUGCUAAUGGCUCUCCCGAUCCAUUUCAUGAUAGUUCUGCCUCUCCCAGUCUGGGCCAUCAAAAUAAUCAAUAGGAGAUGUCGUGGUUUCAUUUGGAAGGGAGAGGAGGCUAUAAGUGGAGGACACUGCUUGCUACCGUGGGCUCAGGUGUGUGCUGUUGGGGAACGUUGCAGAAAACAAAAAAUUUCCUACGGUUUCACCAAGAUCCAUCUAGGAGUUCAUCUGGCAACGAGUGAUUGGAUUGCAUCUACAUACCUUUGUAGAUCACGCGCGGAAGCGUUCAAAGAACGGGGAUGA